GGAAGCGUGGCCGAGUGGUUUAAGGCACUGGUCUUGAAAACCAGCGAGGGCUGACGCCCUCCGUGAGUUCGAAUCUCACCGCUUCCGCCA
This 90-nucleotide transfer RNA is filed under the name Inhella sp. RNAcentral describes it as "tRNA-Ser". It matches the Rfam family "tRNA". From Rfam's summary of the family: Transfer RNA (tRNA) molecules are approximately 80 nucleotides in length. Lineage: Bacteria; Pseudomonadati; Pseudomonadota; Betaproteobacteria; Burkholderiales; Sphaerotilaceae. The record is from RNAcentral.